This 22-nucleotide ribosomal RNA is filed under the name Cirsium henryi. Its description in RNAcentral is "partial 18S ribosomal RNA". The record is from RNAcentral. Lineage: Eukaryota; Viridiplantae; Streptophyta; Magnoliopsida; Asterales; Asteraceae.
YGUGAACUGCGGAAGGAUCAUU